Molecule: ribosomal RNA, 499 nt
Filed under: uncultured Glomeromycotina
Lineage: Eukaryota; Fungi; Glomeromycota
Description: partial small subunit ribosomal RNA
Rfam family: Eukaryotic small subunit ribosomal RNA
Source: RNAcentral
CCAAUAGCGUAUAUUAAAGUUGUUGCAGUUAAAAAGCUCGUAGUUGAAUUUCGGGAUCAGAUUGUCGGUCGUGCCUCGGUACGCACUGGCAUUAUUGGUUCCUACCUUCUGAAGAACCGCGAUGUCAUUAAUUUGGUGUCGUGGGGAAUCAGGACUGUUACUUUGAAAAAAUUAGAGUGUUUAAAGCAGGCGCACGCUUGAAUACAUUAGCAUGGAAUAAUGAAAUAGGACGUUUGAUUCUAUUUUGUUGGUUUCUAGGAUCGACGUAAUGAUUAAUAGGGAUAGUUGGGGGCAUUAGUAUUCAAUUGUCAGAGGUGAAAUUCUUGGAUUUAUUGAAGACUAACGACUGCGAAAGCAUUUGCCAAGGAUGUUUUCAUUAAUCAAGAACGAAAGUUAGGGGAUCGAAGACGAUCAGAUACCGUCGUAGUCUUAACCAUAAACUAUGCCGACUAGGGAUCGGAUGAUGUUAAUUUUUUAAUGACUCAUUCGGCGCCUUACG